AUCGAACGCUGGCGGCAGGCCUAACACAUGCAAGUCGAGCGAGCGGAGGACGGGCGAGUAAUGUAUGGGGACCUGCUUGACGUACGGGGAUAACUCCUGGAACCCGUAGCUAAUACCGCAUACCAUCAGUUGCACUCAUCUGGGAUUAGCUAGUAGGUGGGGUAACGGCUCACCUAGGCGACGAUCCCUAGCUGGUCUGAGAGGAUGAUCAGCCACACUGGGACUGAGACACGGCCCAGACUCCUACGGGAGGCAGCAGUGGGGAAUAUUGCACAAUGGGCGCAAGCCUGAUGCAGCCAUGCCGCGUGUAUGAAGAAGGCCUUCGGGUUGUAAAGUACUUUCAGUCGGGAGGCGUUACCGACAGAAGAAGCACCGGCUAACUCCGUGCAAGCCGCCGCGGUAAUUC
Molecule: ribosomal RNA, 406 nt
Filed under: uncultured bacterium
Lineage: Bacteria
Description: partial 16S ribosomal RNA
Rfam family: Bacterial small subunit ribosomal RNA
Source: RNAcentral